Molecule: long non-coding RNA, 3013 nt
Filed under: Equus caballus (horse)
Lineage: Eukaryota; Metazoa; Chordata; Mammalia; Perissodactyla; Equidae
Description: lncRNA (ENSECAG00000056500.1)
Source: RNAcentral
CACACAUACAAACACCAAAGCCGGUGAAAACAGAACCUGCUGUAGAUAACAAGGAUGGACCUCAGAUGCAAGAAAACUUCCCCUGCAGUACGAAAUUUUGUGAAGGGCAAACCAAGCUGACCUCACUCAUCGUCGUUAGCACAAAGCAGCCAUUCGGCGUUGGGGGGGGUGAGGCAAGGGGCCCGGGGCUGAGGUGUGCACUCUCUGCCCAGACGCUCUGGAAGCCACUUGAGCCUGACCCCUUGAGCCUGAGGUCAAAUUGGGUGGACUGGGUACAGGUUUGGGCACUCGGACCCUUACCCUAGCCAGGCUGGGCGCGGCUGCAGACAGAGUCUGGCCUUGGACCUUAGGAUAAACAUUCAGGGUUCCGAGGUGUACAAGCCAGGAAAAGGAGGGCCUCCAAACCAUCAGAUCCAAUCCCCCAAGUUGGGGGCCAUCUUGUUGUCAUUGUCAAAGGCCUUGAGGGGACUGGCAUGCUCUUUAUCUUGCUCAAUUUCUCAUGCUCGGCCCAUACCCUUCUGACAGCCACUGCAGAGGAUUUCGAUACAGUUCAAAUCAACACAAACUCCCAAGCAUUUGUAAGUGCUAGGUGCCACGUGAGUCGCUAACAUUUUAAGCACAAAACAACAGCCUCACAGCGAGGGUUUUUCCUAAAGUGAUACCCGAGAGGAAGACAGAACCAGAAUUGUCACAUCUCCUUACAGGCCAGGGAAACCGAGGCCCAAGAGGGGAAGCAGCGACUUGGCCCAAAAUUGCACAGACCUGGGACCCCCAAGCACACAUGCCACUUUGUUAUUUUUGCCUUUUUUUUAAGAAAAAUAUCACCACCCACUUCUUCGCACUCAUACACACAUAGGCUUAUUUCAUAGGUAAGAACCGUUCCCAGGCAAAACAGAGCCCCAUUGAAACGUGGGUCUCGGAACAGCCUUCAGCCGGCCAGCUUCGCACCCCCCUCCCCCGCAGCCGGCCGGUCAUCCAAGGUGUCCACCCUUCCCUGCCAGGUGCAUCCUGAUCACCCCCUCAAAACUGGGCUGGGACGAGUCCAUCUCCGGUGUAAAAUCGCAGACUCGAGCUCCCUGCUGGGCCUGCCAGAGUCCUCGUAACAAAGCCGCCUCGCCUGAGCUGAAGGGUCACGACGCUCUCUGUCCACUGCCCUUUCUGCUGGGGCGUCAGCGCCCCGCAACCAGGGGCUCCCCGCCAAGCAGCCAGGGGGGCUCUGAGCCCCACCUGAGCCCCACUCUGCUUCUGGGCCUCUGUGAACCUGGCAGGCCCCUGCCCGUGGUCUCAGCGUAAAAGACCGAGCGGGUGACGAGGACGACCUGGGGAAAUCUCAAAGUCUCAUGUCAGCAAGGAAAGGGCUGAUGAAUGGCUCCCUGCGGAGAGCCUCACCGUGGCGGUUCUCUCCCGGAGCGUGGCCAGGGUCCCGGGCCCGGACAUCAGCAUUCUGCAGUGGCACAUCUAUGCCGACCAGAUGGAGUUAUUGUUCCUCAGAAAAGAGAAAGGACAGGUGGGCGCUGUGACAGUGGGAGGAAGGACAGUGAGGAAGGGAUAAAGAAAGAGGAAUUGGGGUGUUUGGGGAAGAGGUCUAUGGAAGGCCACAAGAGCAGGGCACGUCUCCAGAGGGCUCCCGUUCCGGCAGAUUAGCACCACCCCUAACAUUUACUGAUGCACCUGCUCCUUCCAACUCGUGGCACACGCAGGACCCCCACCCCAGGCUCGUCCUCAGGAGAGCAAGACACUGCCCGGUGACUCCAGAACACCGAGUCUUCCCAGAGCCAAAUUCCGCACUAGAAUAUUCCACCCCACAAAUGACCAGCUCAGAAACAAACAACAUUUUUAAAAGUCUCCCUGGCAAAGCCAGGUGAACAAAACAAUGAAGUAAAUGAAGACUGGGCCAGAGGGCCUUGCCUGGCUUGGCCAAGAAUUGGAAGCUACUCAGUCCGUCUUCAAGGGCAAAGGCUUCCAAGACCCCUUUCUCUUGCUUCCUUUUCGCACCUAAUUACAAGAGAAAGUGCUUUUAAAAAAACAGGCAAAACCCUUGGGAAAAAAAAGUUACAAGGAGCUAAGUCUCAAAAGCUUCUUGGGAUAAAAAUUAUAACCUUGUCCAGCAUUUGAGGAAAAAACAAAGAACCCAGAGGACAAGGAAUAGUCAAGGCCGGAACUGAGUGUCAACUGCCUUCACCCACGGGCAUCCCCGGGCUUGCCCAGAACUACCCCAGCCUCUGGACAGGCUGUGACGUGGAGGGAAAAGAAGGGUUGAGGGAGAGUCCACACAGAAAGGGUGUCUGGGGGGGUCCUGUCCUCCCUCCCCGGGGAUUCUGCUUUCCCCGGCCCCUCUUCUUUCCCACCUGCCGGACUCCCAGCGGAAAUAAACAGCAAAGAAAGCAAAACAGACACCGUCGGCCUCUCUUCUCUGGGCCACCACCGGGCUGGCGGAGGUCCUCAAGGGCCCUGCAGAGGCGCCUCCCGCUGCUCCCGACGUGGGCCCCGGGGCAGCAGUGUUGCUGCUGCCCCCUCACCCCGCGCUGGGUGACAGGCAGCCCCCGUGGCCGCCGUGGCUGCUUGAGAGGCCUGGUGAUGUGGAACUUUUGCCUGACGGAUUUGUGGGAACAGCCGAGGCACAUGCCUGAUUGCGACACAGAGUUCGGGAAUUGUGCCCUUGCACGAAAAAGCUGGCCUGUUUCUACCAAGUCCCUUGGCACUAACCCCCAACUGCUUAGUGGGUCUAAGUCAGGACUAUAAAGCUGAACACCUUGAAAACAUUAUCUCAACAGUUCUGAUGUCACUCUACUCGUCUAAGAAAUAGCACAUCCCAUUCGGCCCAAGUGGCUUUCUUUGCCGAGAAUUCAAACCUCAGGCCUGCCUUUCACCACUGCCCACAUGUUGCAACAUUCCCGCCGUCUGCCACCUCCCUACCCUCUCCUGCCCGGCUCUCUCCAUCUCCACGGCUUGGGCCCUGCCAGAGGCUGUGUCUUAUGCCACUCGCCCCUUCUCCCCGACGUCCUGAGUCAGC